Arabidopsis thaliana (thale cress) is the source of this 636-nucleotide long non-coding RNA. RefSeq annotates it as other RNA. The transcript has a single exon. The record is from RefSeq. NCBI's taxonomy places the organism in Eukaryota, Viridiplantae, Streptophyta, Magnoliopsida, Brassicales, Brassicaceae.
CUUUACCCCGACGAUCUCCUCCGUUCUCAUCAGCCAAAACGCCACCAAAGUCGCCACAAUAUCCACAAACCCUAAACUUUUCCCACCGAGAAAAUCUUUCCCAACAAGCUCUUUCUCCAAAAACAUCAACAAAUCUCUCGUCGCUUCAACCACAGCAUCUCUCUCUUUUCCGGUCUUCCCCACAACUUUCAUCGCCGUCACAUAAAUCUGAAACUCCCCAACAAACCGGUUUUAAAAACCCGGUUCAAAAACCCAAACCAGUUAUCGAAAUUGAAAAUUCAUACCUGUUCAUCGACGAAUUUAGACCAGAAUCGAGCCAUAGUUCUCUCAUACGGAUCUUGAGGAAGAAUCGGAUUGUCUCUCCAAGUCUCAUCAAUAUACUCAAGAAUCACAAGUGAUUCAGAAAUCGGUUUACCAUUAUGAACAAGAACCGGAAUCAUCUUAUGAACCGGAUUCAAUUGAAGCAACAAAGAGCUCUUGUUUGUGAUAUCUUGCUCCAGGAACUCAUACGAAACACCUUUAAGCGUAAGAGCAAUCUCAAUCCUCCGACUAAAAGGACUCGCCCACAUUCCCAAAAGCUUCACUUCCUCUGAAUUUGAUCUCUCCGCCAUUAUUUUUCGUUAGCUUCUUCUUCUU